RNAcentral lists this transfer RNA (69 nucleotides) under Ixodes scapularis (black-legged tick). RNAcentral describes it as "tRNA-Sec". The record is from RNAcentral. Lineage: Eukaryota; Metazoa; Arthropoda; Arachnida; Ixodida; Ixodidae.
GCACUCAUGGCGUAAUGGUUAUCGCUCAUGCCUUCAACGCAAAAAGCAAGGGUUCGAUUCCUGGCCGCG